This 253-nucleotide ribosomal RNA is filed under the name uncultured bacterium. RNAcentral describes it as "partial 16S ribosomal RNA". It matches the Rfam family "Bacterial small subunit ribosomal RNA", at positions 524 to 776 of the family's 1533-position model. The record is from RNAcentral.
UACGUAGGGUGCAAGCGUUGUCCGGAAUUAUUGGGCGUAAAGAGCGUGUAGGCGGCCCGACCAGUCCGCUGUGAAAGUCCAGGGCUCAACCCUGGAAUGCCGGUGGAUACUGUCGGGCUAGAGUCCGGAAUGGGCGAGUGGAAUUCCUGGUGUAGCGGUGAAAUGCGCAGAUAUCAGGAGGAACACCAGUGGCGAAGGCAGCUCGCUGGGACGUGACUGACGCUGAGACGCGAAAGCGUGGGGAGCAAACAGG